Molecule: ribosomal RNA, 508 nt
Filed under: uncultured bacterium
Lineage: Bacteria
Description: partial 16S ribosomal RNA
Rfam family: Bacterial small subunit ribosomal RNA
Source: RNAcentral
GACGAACGCUGGCGGCGUGCCUAAUACAUGCAAGUCGAACGCUUCUUUCCUCCCGAGUGCUUGCACUCCAUUGGAAAGAGGAGUGGCGGACGGGUGAGUAACACGUGGGUAACCUACCCAUCAGAGGGGGAUAACACUUGGAAACAGGUGCUAAUACCGCAUAACAGUUUAUGCCGCAUGGCAUAAGAGUGAAAGGCGCUUUCGGGUGUCGCUGAUGGAUGGACCCGCGGUGCAUUAGCUAGUUGGUGAGGUAACGGCUCACCGAGGCCACGAUGCAUAGCCGACCUGAGAGGGUGAUCGGCCACACUGGGACUGAGACACGGCCCAGACUCCUACGGGAGGCAGCAGUAGGGAAUCUUCGGCAAUGGACGAAAGUCUGACCGAGCAACGCCGCGUGAGUGAAGAAGGUUUUCGGAUCGUAAAACUCUGUUGUUAGAGAAGAACAAGGACGUUAGUAACUGAACGUCCCCUGACGGUAUCUAACCAGAAAGCCACGGCUAACUACGUG